Long non-coding RNA from Cebus imitator (Panamanian white-faced capuchin), 376 nucleotides. RefSeq lists it as uncharacterized. NCBI's taxonomy places the organism in Eukaryota, Metazoa, Chordata, Mammalia, Primates, Cebidae. The transcript is spliced from 3 exons. The record is from RefSeq and is a predicted model, not a curated record.
GUGAUUCUCCUGCCUCAGCCUCCUGAGUAGCUGGAAUUACAGAUUCCAUCAUGGGAAGGAGGAGGGGAAGACCCUGGAAGAUGGAGCAGAAGCCAGCAAGAAGCUAAGGUCUCACCUGGCAACCACUGAGCAGCCUCAACUGGCACAGUCAAGGUUUCUGCCAUCACAGGCCUGGGACUCGAGAGCAAGAGGGAAGCGGUUAUAGACAGCACAGCAAGUGAAGCUGACUGACAAGGGAUGAGGAACGAAAAUUACAAUUUCAGAACCUCUUUGCUCAGCUUUUGGGAAAGAGCGAACUCUCCCCUGUGCAAACCACCUCGUGAUUUUUCAGGAAACCAGGCUGAGAAACUUGGAUUCCAAAACCUAGAGAAAGAUG